UCCCUGGUGGUCCAGUGUUUAGGGCUCAGCACUGUCACUGCUGUGGCCUGGGUUCAGCCCCUGGUCAGAGAA
Molecule: transfer RNA, 72 nt
Filed under: Ovis aries (sheep)
Lineage: Eukaryota; Metazoa; Chordata; Mammalia; Artiodactyla; Bovidae
Rfam family: tRNA
About the family: Transfer RNA (tRNA) molecules are approximately 80 nucleotides in length.
Source: Rfam by way of RNAcentral